GACGGAGGAUGCAAGCGUUAUCCGGAAUUAUUGGGCGUAAAGCGUACGUAGGCGGCUUAUCAAGUCUGGGGUCAAAGACCACAGCUUAACUGUGGAAAGGCCUUGGAAACUGGGGAGCUGGAGUGAGGUAGGGGCUGCGGGAAUUCCCGGUGUAGCGGUGAAAUGCGUAGAUAUCGGGAAGAACACCUGAGGCGAAAGCGCGCGACUGGGCCUUAACUGACGCGGAGGUACGAAAGCUAGGGGAGCGAAUGGG
Molecule: ribosomal RNA, 253 nt
Filed under: uncultured bacterium
Lineage: Bacteria
Description: partial 16S ribosomal RNA
Rfam family: Bacterial small subunit ribosomal RNA
Source: RNAcentral